GCUCAGUGUUGGGAAUGCCACAUGAUGA
This 28-nucleotide non-coding RNA is filed under the name Rattus norvegicus (Norway rat). The record is from RNAcentral. Lineage: Eukaryota; Metazoa; Chordata; Mammalia; Rodentia; Muridae.